GAUGAACGCUGGCGGCGUGCCUAAUACAUGCAAGUCGAGCGAACGGACGAGAAGCUUGCUUCUCUGAUGUUAGCGGCGGACGGGUGAGUAACACGUGGAUAACCUACCUAUAAGACUGGGAUAACUUCGGGAAACCGGAGCUAAUACCGGAUAAUAUUUUGAACCGCAUGGUUCAAAAGUGAAAGACGGUCUUGCUGUCACUUAUAGAUGGAUCCGCGCUGCAUUAGCUAGUUGGUAAGGUAACGGCUUACCAAGGCAACGAUGCAUAGCCGACCUGAGAGGGUGAUCGGCCACACUGGAACUGAGACACGGUCCAGGCUCCUACGGGAGGCAGCAGUAGGGAAUCUUCCGCAAUGGGCGAAAGCCUGACGGGGCAACGCCGCGUGAGUGAUGAAGGUCUUCGGAUCGUAAAACUCUGUUAUUAGGGAAGAACAUAUGUGUAAGUAACUGUGCACAUCUUGACGGUACCUAAUCAGAAAGCCACGGCUAACUACGUG
Molecule: ribosomal RNA, 497 nt
Filed under: uncultured bacterium
Lineage: Bacteria
Description: partial 16S ribosomal RNA
Rfam family: Bacterial small subunit ribosomal RNA
Source: RNAcentral